AUGUCCAAGUACGGCACCAUCCCCACCUCCUCCUCCGCCGCCGCGGGGGCGCCUCACCUCGGCGGCGCCUCCCCGCUCGACUUCAUCUCCCGCGCCAAGGCCCGCGGCGCGACGGCGCUGGCCACCCGCCGGCCAUGGCGCGAGCUCGCGGACGUGCACGCCGUCGGGCUGCCCCCGAGCCUCGGCGACGCCUACCUGCGCGUGCGCGCCAACCUCGCCCACUUCGCCAUGAACUACGCCAUCGUCGUCCUCGUCGUCGUCUUCCUCUCCCUCCUCUGGCAGCCCAUCUCCCUCAUCGUCUUCCUCGUCUGUAUGGUCGGCUGGCUCGUCCUCUACUUCCUCCGAGACGAGCCCAUCGUCCUCUUCGGCCGCGUCGUCGGCGACGGCGUGGUCCUCGCCGUGCUCGCUGCUGUCACGCUCAUCCUCCUGCUGCUCACCGGCGCCACCACCAACAUCCUCACGUCGCUGCUCAUCGGCUUCGUGCUCGUCGUGGUGCACGCCGCACUGCACAAGGCGGAGGACAACGUUGACGAAGAAGUCGGCCGCUGGUACGCGCCGGUGCCAGCGCAGUAG
This 573-nucleotide ribosomal RNA is filed under the name Triticum aestivum (bread wheat). RNAcentral describes it as "partial small subunit ribosomal RNA". The record is from RNAcentral. Lineage: Eukaryota; Viridiplantae; Streptophyta; Magnoliopsida; Poales; Poaceae.